CGGGAAAGUAUAACGAGGAUGCUGAUUUGGUUUUUGUCUCCGAAGUUAGAUGGAAUGCUUUGGAAGCAUGGCAAAGGAAUCAUAGUUACGAGCAACUUCAGUUUGGUCCAUCGGUAAUUAAUCAUGAAUUGCUUAACCGUGUCAUUACUCACUGCAAGUGGCUGCACAAUCCAGAAAUGGAUGCAAUGAUGUAUUUAUUCCGGGAGAAAACAUCUUUAGGUGAAAUGAAGGCAGACCAUGUUGGUUUCAUGAAUUGCAUGUUCAGUGAGAGAAUCAAAGUGGAAUACACCAAGUACUUGAAGACAAAGCGGCAGCACAAAUGGGAUAGUAGACUUCUCGAGAAUGCUAAUGGUGAGUUUCCUUCUCACGGAAAGACAGGAAAACAAUGGGGUACAGAUGUUGACAGGAUAUACGCUCCGAUUUGCGUCAACGGCAAC
This is a non-coding RNA of Camelina sativa (false flax), 437 nucleotides long. NCBI's taxonomy places the organism in Eukaryota, Viridiplantae, Streptophyta, Magnoliopsida, Brassicales, Brassicaceae. The record is from RefSeq and is a predicted model, not a curated record.